GACGAACGCUGGCGGCACGCUUAACACAUGCAAGUCGAACGAGAGAAGAGAAGCUUGCUUUUCUGAUCUAGUGGCGGACGGGUGAGUAACACGUGAGCAAUCUGCCUUUCAGAGGGGGAUACCGAUUGGAAACGAUCGUUAAUACCGCAUAAUAUAAUUGAACCGCAUGAUUUGAUUAUCAAAGAUUUAUCGCUGAAAGAUGAGCUCGCGUCUGAUUAGCUAGUUGGUAAGGUAACGGCUUACCAAGGCGACGAUCAGUAGCCGGACUGAGAGGUUGAUCGGCCACAUUGGGACUGAGACACGGCCCAGACUCCUACGGGAGGCGGCAGUGGGGAAUAUUGCACAAUGGAGGAAACUCUGAUGCAGCGAUGCCGCGUGAGGGAAGAAGGUUUUAGGAUUGUAAACCUCUGUCUUCAGGGACGAAAAAAGACGGUACCUGAGGAGGAAGCUCCGGCUAACUACGUGCCAGCAGCCGCGGUAAUACGUAGGGAGCGAGCGUUGUCCGGAAUUACUGGGUGUAAAGGGAGCGUAGGCGGGAUCGCAAGUCAGAUGUGAAAACUAUGGGCUUAACCCAUAAACUGCAUUUGAAACUGUGGUUCUUGAGUGAAGUAGAGGUAAGCGGAAUUCCUAGUGUAGCGGUGAAAUGCGUAGAUAUUAGGAGGAACAUCAGUGGCGAAGGCGGCUUACUGGGCUUUAACUGACGCUGAGGCUCGAAAGCGUGGGGAGCAAACAGGAUUAGAUACCCUGGUAGUCCACGCCGUAAACGAUGAUUUAUUAGGGGGGGGGGGAGUGACCCCCUCCGUGCCGCAGCAAACGCAAUAAUUAAUCCACCUGGGGAGGGGGACCGCAAGGGUGAAUCUCAAAGGAAUUGUCGGGGGCCCGCCCCCGCAGUGGAGUAUGUGGAUUAAUUUGAAGCAACGCGAAGAACCUUCCCAGGUCUUGACAUCGUAUGCAUAGCUCAGAGAUGAGGGAAAUCUUUUUGGAGACAUAUAGACAGGUGGUGCAUGGUUGUUGUCAGCAAAAAUCGUGAGAUGUUGGGUUAAGUGGCGCAAAAAGCGCAACCCCUCCUGUUAGUUGUUACGCAAGAGCACUCUAGCAGGACUGCCGUUGACAAAACGGAGGAAGGGGGGGAGGACGUCAAAUCAUCAUGCCCCUUAUGAGAAGGGCGUCACACGUACUACAAUGGCUGUCAACAGAGGGAAGCAAAGCCGCGAGGGGGAGCGAACCCCUAAAAACAGUCUUUUUU
RNAcentral lists this ribosomal RNA (1246 nucleotides) under uncultured bacterium. RNAcentral describes it as "bacterial SSU rRNA". It matches the Rfam family "Bacterial small subunit ribosomal RNA", at positions 28 to 1293 of the family's 1533-position model. The record is from RNAcentral.